GUGAAUUCGUGUGAAUCGCAGACUGCUUUGAACAUCGACAUCUUGAACGCACAUUGCGGCCACAGGCUUGCCUGUGGCCACGUCUGACCGAGGGUCGGCU
RNAcentral lists this ribosomal RNA (100 nucleotides) under Proteocephalus synodontis. RNAcentral describes it as "partial 5.8S ribosomal RNA". It matches the Rfam family "5.8S ribosomal RNA", at positions 57 to 154 of the family's 154-position model. Rfam says of the family: 5.8S ribosomal RNA (5.8S rRNA) is a component of the large subunit of the eukaryotic ribosome. Lineage: Eukaryota; Metazoa; Platyhelminthes; Cestoda; Proteocephalidea; Proteocephalidae. The record is from RNAcentral.